This 216-nucleotide ribosomal RNA is filed under the name Triticum aestivum (bread wheat). RNAcentral describes it as "partial small subunit ribosomal RNA". Lineage: Eukaryota; Viridiplantae; Streptophyta; Magnoliopsida; Poales; Poaceae. The record is from RNAcentral.
AUGGUGAGGGCAGUGGUGGUGGCCGUGCUGCUGGUCCAGUGCUGCAGCGUGGUCCUCGCGGCGAGGCUGCUCGAGGGAGACGGCGGUUGGCUGCACGGCGGCGUUGGCGCCGCUGGGGCGCUUAUCAUGCAGAUCCUGCCCAGCGGCAGCCCCGGGGUAGGAACACCCAACCCGUACACCCACGACCCCAUCAACAACAACCCGCCUGGCCAAUGA